RNAcentral lists this long non-coding RNA (4804 nucleotides) under Zostera marina. RNAcentral describes it as "long non-coding RNA (ZMAR_LNC001927)". The record is from RNAcentral. Lineage: Eukaryota; Viridiplantae; Streptophyta; Magnoliopsida; Alismatales; Zosteraceae.
UCAAAAGGAGCUAUCGAUUUCGUGUCUUUUGAUAAGAGGUGACUAAGUAGUUAUACAUAAUAUCCCUCAUAAAACUAUUCUGUUUUAACCUAGUUUCAAUCUAACAAGUUUUUUAAACAUGCAGGAAAAUGGCAGCAGUAACAGUGGCAAUGUGGCAAUGACAGCAGUACGAGCGGCACAAACGGCUAAAAAUAUAGGAAGUGUGGCAAAAACGGCUACAAAAACAGUAAAAACAACAAAAAAAGCGAUCAAAGCCGUAAAGGGUAUAAAGAAAUUGACAAAAAGAGGAAGAAGAGCAGCAAAACGUGAAAAAAAAAGAGCAGAAGAGGCAAAACAAACUGCAAAAGGAACAACCGCGGGAACAACAGCUGGGGCAAUAGAAGGAGCAAAAAAAGGAGCUAUUGCCGGAAAGGUAUCUGGAGGAGCAGCUGGGACAGCAGCUGCAAUUGCAGCUGUCAAACUAUUAGGAAAACUUGACAAAGCAAUUGCUGAAGCUAUAGGAGCAGAUGUUGGAGAAAAAGCAGGAGAAGAAGCAGGAAGAAAGGCGGGAAAAGAGGCAGGGAAAAUUGUAGGAAAGAAAAUUGGAAAAGAAGCUGGAAAAAUCGCUGGAAAAAUUGCCGGAGGAAAAUUAGGUGAGAAAGCAGGAGCAAAAGCAGGAGAAAAAGCCGGAGAAAAGGAAGGUGGGGAAGCAGGAGAAGAAGCUGGUGCAAAAGAAGGUAAAGAACUCGGAAAGAUUGCCGGUGCAGCAGCAGCUUUAGAAAGAGAUGAUGAAUAAACAAGAGAAUGAGUUCUCAAACUACUGAUCGACUACUUGAAUAAUAAUAACAUUCUUUAUUCCAAUCUUCCUUGUCAUAACAAUACACACUUUUUUUAAACCAGUACAAAACUCAAUCAAAUCAAAUCAACAAAAAUAAAAAUAUUUUUCAGACCAAACAGAAAUACAUAAUUGACUUAUUUAGUUUAUCAUGAGAAAUAGUAGUUAGGGCAAUUGUAGGAGUGAUUCGCACGGGGACGGUGCCGUUGUUGGUUGAGGGGGUGGUGGAGGCAAUGGUGGUUGUUUAAAGAAAACUGAAUCAUCAUACAUUAGAAAGCAACUAUGUAAUAGAUAUGCUGCUCCAGUUGCUAACCCACACUGAUCAGGAAGAACGGGGCGUGGAACGGGACAGGUCAGGUACCUUGAUCUCCUGCCCCGGACCCGGUGACCGGGGUGUGGAACGGGAUAGACCCGGGGCAACCCAUCUGGAAUUAUAUAAAAAAAUUAUAAAUUAUAAAAAAAUAAUUAAAAGAGUAAACCUAAAAUUUAAAAUAGGUAAACUUUUUUAGUUUUUACCUUAAUUCUUAAAAAAUUUAAUUCUAAUAAUCCUAUUAAUGGGUAUCAAAUUAAGCUCGGGCUUGCGAGCCUAACGAGCCGAGCCCGAGCCUGAAGGUUAAGCUCGGUGGGAUCGGUAAAAAUUAUAAAAAAGUAAAAAAAUAUUAUAUUUAGAGAGAAAAACGGUGUAGCAUAGAUGGUAAAACGUUUGUUUUUUUUCGUCGACACGAACACGUCUUGUGUCAAAAAAAUUUAAUACGAAAUGAGGAAUCAAACCCAUAACCUCUUGCCUGUUGAAAAAUUGUUUUACCAACUAUACUACGUAUUUAUUUAGUUUUAAUAUAAUAUUUUUGUAAUUAAUAAUCGUUUUAUAUUUAAUAUUAUUAUAGUUGAUAUUUAAUAUUAUUAUAUUUGAUAUUACUAUAUUAGAUAUUUAAUAUUUUUAUAAUAUAAUAUUAUAUUUAAUUAAUAGUCGUGUUAUCGGGUCAUAUAAUCGUGUCGUGUCAAUUUAUGUUUCGUGUAAUCGUGUCGUGUUUUUAAAGAAAACACUAAACCGAUACUAUUAUUAAUCAUAUCAAAAUUUUCGACACUAAACCAACACUAUUAUAAACGUGUCGUAUUCGUGUCGUGUCAUGUUUUUUUACGAAAUGUGUCUGUUAUUGCCACCCUUAGUUCAAUCCCCAAUGUCUCCAAAUAAUUCGUUCUUUUAAUUUCGAGCCCAGACUCGCGAGCUCGAGCCCGAGCCUGGAAAGUCUUUGACGAGCCGAGCCUGGAAAGUCUUUGACGAGCCGAGCCUGAGCCCAGAUGAUACCUUAACGAGCCGAGCCCGAACCCGGCUCUAUAAGUAAAAGCUCGGCUCUGCUCGUUUGACACCCUACCUAUAUUUAAUAUAAUAUAAUUUAUUAUAAAAAAUUUAAAAUUAUUUUUUUAAAACCAGACGACCCGCCCGGGUUUCGCUGUAUUAAGUUCUUGUUGCGGAGGCACCGUCGUCGACAAUCUCGUGACUUCCCCUAGUCUGGGACGAUCGAAGUGUUGUGGUGUUGCCAGAUUGGAGCUAGGGUUUUUCGCGCAAGGAAGAAGGGGGCGUUUACCCGCUCUAACUAUCACUAUGGAGGAGAGAAUAGAUUUGCGUGUAUUUUUCAUUAAUCUCAGUAAAAGAUUAACUUGUUGUAUUAAGUUAAUUUUGAAUGUUAAUCACAAUGUUUAUUUAUUACAAAAUUAGUUAAUAAGACUCAUAACUAACUAAUUAAACUAAUUGAAGAUCCGGCCCAUUUGUAAUUGAUCCAAUAAGGAUUUAUUUGAAACAUUUAUCUUUCGUCCUUUGACUUUUUCAAUUCUUUAUAAAUGAGUCUUGUAACAAUUGUCUGCAUAAUAAAACUUAAACCAAAAUUAGUUUCUAUAUUAAAAACAACUAUUCAUUACAUUUAGGUCCUGGUAACGUUUUUUGAAACUUUUGUAAACAACACCUUGUUAGUUAAUAACCGGUAGUUUAUUUAGUUAUACCAGAACCUUCUAAUUGUUUUAUUUCACUUAGGUCCUCAGUUUUAUUUCUUGGCAAAAUUGAUGUUUUUACCCUGGAUUUUCAAUAUAUUCUUAUACGCUGUGCCUCACCCACCCUGGAAUAUGACCGGGGCAACGAGGCAAAAUAUCUGCCCCGCCCCCGGUUACCACCGGGGCACAGAACAGGGCGGGAUCGGGGAGAGGUAGGGUGUCGACUAAAGCUAGGCUCGUUAAGCUCGGGCUUGCGAGCCUAACGAUCUCGAGCCAAAGCACAAGCUCGAUAAGCUUGUCGAGCUCGAGCUUGUACUUUUCAAACUCAGCUCGUUAAAGGCUUUUUAAUAAUUAAAUAAAAUAUAGAUAUUACGAGUUAUAGAUAUUAAUUGAUAAUGACUAAUGAAUAAAUUAUAAGAAAACUUAAAUAAAAAUUUAAAUCAAGUAAACAUAGAUAGUUUUUAGAUUUUUUUUUCAAUUUACAAAAUUGCAAAUUAAAUUUCAAGUUCGAGUCCGAACCGAGCCUGAGCUCGGCCAAACAGGCUCGACGAGCUCGAGCCCGAACCUGGACAAUUACUUAACGAGCCGAGUCCUUAGCUUUAUAAGCAAAUGCUCGACUCGACUCGUUUGACACCCUAGGGAGAGGGAAAGAGAAGAAAUUAAAUGAUUUAGAACUUAAGAAAGGUCGCUAAAAAUUUAUGGGUCCCUCUCGAGCCUCGAAUCGAUAUAUCAUACCAACACUUCACAAGAAAACAAAUUUUUAGCGAUAACUAGGGAGUCAAAUAAAGCCCGGCUUAGCGGGCUCGACUCGUUUAAGCUCGGGCUCGCGAGUCCAACGAGCCAAGUCCGAGCCCAAGUCCGUCUGUUAAGCUCGAGUGAGCUCGUUGGUAGGUAUAAAAAAGUAAAAAAAUAUUAAAUUUAAAGAGAAUAAAGGUAUAACAUAGUUGGUAAAAGGUUUGUUUAUUAUUUAAGAGGUCAUGGGUUCAAUCCCCUAUGUUUCUAAAUAAUUAUUUCUUUUAAUUCGAGCACAGAAAGUAUAAAAAACUAAAAAAAUAUUAAAUUUAAAGAAAAUAAAGGUACAGCACAAAUAGUAAAACGUUUGUUAAGCAUGUGAGAGAUCACAGGUUCAAUCUUUCAUGUCUCCAUAAAUUUUUUUUUUAAGUCGAGCUUGGGCUCCCGAGCCCGAACCUGGAAAAUCUCUGACGAGCCCGAGCCCGAGCUCAGAUGAUAUCUUAACGAGCCGAGUCCGACUCUAUAAGCAAAAGCUCGGUUCGGUUCGGCUCGUUUGACACCCUAGCGAUAAUUAAUUCGAUCUUAAGUUUGACGACCCUUCAUAAGGAAGCCGUCACUGAUCCAAUAAAAAACCAUAAUUAAGAAUGGCAUUUAUAAACGGUCGUUAGUUUCAUGGAUUUAUCAUAAAAUCAUUUUUCAAAGUCGUUAAAUGUUUAUUUGUUAUUGAUGAAGAAUAAUACCAUUCACUUAUUAUUAUUAUUAUUUUUUUUUUACAAUUAUGUACAAAACGAGAUUAAACCAUGAACUCUCAACAACUUUAAUAAAAUAAUAAUUACCAUUUUAUUAGUUAUGAAAUGUGUUAUUUUUUUUUCAAUAAAGUUUAGAAAUGGUCAAUGUCUUCCUCCUAAUUGAGUGCAUGCAUUUAAAACAUGAUUGAAAGUCUUGCACAAAUGAUUCAAAUAUUGAAUUUUCUACAAAGUCAAAAAAGAUGUUCUCAUUCUCUUUUCUAUAAAUUAAGAUGCCUUGAUCGUUAGAAAUCAAUAACUGAAAAUCUCACAGACAUCAGAGUUUUGUCAAAAGAAGCUAUCGUUUUUGUGUCUUUUGAUAAGAGGUAACUAAGUAGUUAUACAUAAUAUCCUUCAUAAAACUACUUUGUUUUAACCUAGUUUCAAUCUAACAAGUUCUUUAAACAUGCAGGAAAAUGGCAGCAGUAACAGCAGUAACAAUGGCAAUGACAGCAGUACGAGUGGCACAAACGGCAAAAAAUAUAGG